UUGUUAGCCUGGCAGUGCAUUGAAGAAAAAAAAAUGUUUAUGCAAAAAGGGACCUGUGUACAUGUGGUCUAAGAUCAAUUAUUGGUCAACUUCUUAGGGGAGAAUCAUCGGUGCCUGUAAUUUAUCAAUUUUAUGCCGUGGAAACUAUCCUCGUAUCGGGGAACCUAUUUCGGUGGAGGCACAGAUGGUGUUUUGGCAGUUGCUGUUUACUUCGACAACCCCCUACGAAGAAUUUGAAACACGGGGACCGCUUUAGCCCAUGCACUGGAGAAGUUCUAGGAAUGCAGUGUUUGUGCAUUCCCGUCAUUUAAGGGCAGUAUUGUUUUGGUCAUUAUAACAAAACAAAUAAUGUUUUAAUGUUUACAUAUUUGGACAUAUGUUUGGAGCAGCUUUUAAAUCAUUAUUUUAUUCAUACGUCAUUAUGGUUAAGCUGCAUGCCUUUAUAAAAUACAGGCUAACUGGCGGUGCAACAGGGCAAAUCAUUUUCAUAAUUUUAUAUUUAUUUACCAUACGUACCUGUUACACUUCAUGGGUUCUCCUUAUGAUUUGUCUUUCUGAUGUUCAGUAAAUACAUAGUAUGGAAAUAAUAGUAUUUAUGUCGAAACUGUUUUCCAUUUAAUUAUUUAACCUGUAUCGUUUCCCCCAUUACGAUACCCCCUUUUCAUGGAGAGAAUUAUCAGUUGUCUCGGCGAAUGAAAUCUCACUUGCGUACUUAAUCUACAUGCAUUACAGUCAUUCACUCAUUGUUCCAUUUGAAUAUUCUGCAGCUGCAUCAAAAUUGUGAAUUUUAUAUGACUGUUCGAUUCUGCAAUUUUACCCAUCCUGUUUACAUUACUGGAGUUAAUAACUUGCCUGAUCGUGGAACCUGUUUACGCAUAAUUUAUGGUAUCCUGGUUGGUUUAGCGAAUUAUUGUUUACACUUGAAAUAUUGGUUUGUUUACAAACACAUGCACAUGUUGAAUCAAUUCAGCAGAUGAAACUUUCUCAGAUGGUAUAGGCCUAUCUAUGAUAAUUACUGAAUUAGACAUUUCUAUACAGUGUGCCAUUUAUAAUCGUUCCAUCAUUAGAACAUUGGUUUUUUUUUUAACUUAUGGGAAAUAUAUGUUGUGUCAUUGUGAUUUGAAUGCAUUUCAAUCUUCUGCAUUAUUCAGUAUGCACAUCUGAGAAAAUAAGAUAAACAGAGUGCAAUAGAUUAUCUACACUAAAUGUGUCAAAGGGGUUAUCGCUCAAUUAACCUGUCCGCUGAUCUACACAUGUUUGUAUGUUUGGUUUUUUUUUAUGAAUCUGUGUUCAAGGUCAACUGGGUCACCACGUGAUGUCAGCUGCAGUAUCGUUGAUUGUACUCUGGCCUCACCAGGGGGUUCUCGGGGAGUCUCUCCUAUCCUCUCUGAUCCUGGCUUUGGAUGGAGUCCACCUGCAGUAAACUUCAUUCUUUGUCCAGCCUGUGAGGAAUGUUCUUUUGCUUGUGCAUUUUAUCAUCUUUUCAAAGAAAUAAGACCAGUACACUAUUUUUGUUCUACAUUAUUAUUUUUAUAUAGCCUUAAUUAAAUUAUGCUCAGCUCAGAGCUAUAUAAAAAUUUGUGUACUGCUCCUUACAAUACUUUGCAUAUCCAGUUAACAAUUUAAAGAAUGUUUAACACAGUUUCUCUAAUGAUGCAAAGAUAUCAAUGAAGUUGAUAAUCAUUUUUUGCAGCAUUAGAAACAGGAAACAUUUGGUAAUUGCCAUAUAUCUGAAGACAUGUUAAGUUUAUUUACUAGCUGCCUUACAUAUAAUUCUUAAGAGGCAUUAUUAUCCCUAUAAGGAAGACUCUGCAAUUUUAAAAUGUAUUUUUAUGUUCAGCAAAAUCCUUAGUGGGUUUUGCAACAUUAAAUAUAUCGUUUCUUUUUAUUCUAUAAGUAAAAAUACUGGGAGAAAAAUGGUUCAGAAAAAAAAAAAAAAAAAAAAAAAAAAAUAAAUAAAAAAAAAAUAAAAAUUAAAUAAAUAAAUAAAUAAUAAUAAUAAUAAUAAAAAAAAAUCUGAAUCAGGGAAAUGUUUUAAUAUUGCAAUCAAUGUCAAUUAUAUUUUCAAUAUAUUGUUUCACUUGUACAAUGUGCAGUAGAAACUUUGGUAAUGUUUUCUAUAUUUCUUUUAAAAUAUUCUAACAGUACUAUUUUCAAUAGUAUUAUAGUAUCAAAAAAAACACACAAAAAAAAAAGAAAAAAAAAAAGAAUUUAGUAUGAACAUUAAGAAUAUGUUCAAGAUACCUGUGAAAACAUUCAAUAUAUUGUUGCAAUAUUGGUGGAAACAUUCAGUAUAAUUUCGAUUAGUUUUGUUUUGUUUUUGUGAAUGUUUAAGGUUUUGAUGGAAACAUUCAGUGUAAUGAUUAAAAGUUUUCCUGGAAAUUAAGUAUUUUAUAUCAAAACUUUGGGAACACAUUCAGUUCAAUGUACCAUUGUUUUGUGCAAACAUUCAGUAUAAUGUUUAAAAGUUUUUUGAAGAUACAUUCAGUAUGCUUCAUUGUCUUUGUGACAACAUUCAUUGUAAAUAAUAUUUCAAAGUUUUUGUCUUAAACAUUCAGUAUAAUGUUUCAAAGUUUGUGUCAAAACGUUCAUUAUGAUAUUUCAAGUUUUGUGGAAACAUUAAGUACAAUGUUUCAAGUUUUUGUGGAAACAUUCAGUAUAAUGUUUCAAGUUUUUUUGUGUAAGCAUUUAGUUUAAUGUUUCAAGUUUUUGUGGAAGCAUUCAGUAUAAAGUUUCAAAGUUGAUGUUUAAGUUAAAACAUUCAGUUUAUGUGUCAAGUUUGUUUUGGAAACAUUCAGUAACAUUCAGUUUAAUGUUUUGAGUUUUUGUGGAAACAUUCAGUAUAAUGUUUUUGAUUUUUUGUGGAAAAAUUCAGUAUAUUGUUACAAAUGUAAUGUGUAAGCAUUCAGUAUAAAGUUUCAAGUUUGUUUUGGAAACAUUUAAUAGAAUGUUUCAAAGUUUUUGUGAAAAAUAUUCAGUAUCAUGUCUCAGUCAUGUAUUAGUGUUUGUGGAAACAUUCAGUACAAUGUGUCAAAGUUUAUGUUUAAACAGUCAGUAUAAUGUUUAAGUUCUGUUUUGGAAACAUUCAGUACAAUGUGUCAAAGUUUAUGUUGAAACAGUUAGUAUAAUGAAUGAAUUCUGUUGGAAACAUUCAGUAUAAUGUUUCAAGUUUUUAUGGAAACAUUCAGUAUAAUGUUUCGAAGGUUUUUUGGAAACAUUCAGUAUAACGUUUCAAAGGUUUUUGUGGAAACAUUCAGUAUAAGGUUUCAAGUCUUUGUUUAAACAUUCAAUAUAAUGUUUCAAAGUUUUGUGGAAGCAUUCAGUAUAAUGUUUCAAGCUUUGAUGGAAACAUGCAGUUUGAUGUUUCAAAGUUUUUGUGGAAACAUUAAAUAUAAUGUUUCAAAGGUUUUGUGAAAACAUUCAGUAUAAUGCUUCAAACUUUUUAUGGAAACAUUUAGUAUAAUGUUUCAAAGGUUUUAUGGAAGCAUUAAGUAUAAUGUUUCAAGUUUUGAUGGAAACAUGCAGUUUGAUGUUUCAAAGUUUUGUGGAGACAUUCAGUAUAAUGUUUCAAAGGUUUUGUGAAAACAUUCAGUAUAAUGUUUCAAAUGUUUUAUGGAAACAUUCUGUAUAAUGUUUCAAAGGUUUUGUGAAAACAUUCAGUAUAAUGUUUCAAACUUUUUAUGGAAACAUUCAGUAUAAUGUUUCAAAGGUUUUGUGGAAACAUUCAGUAUAAUGUUUCAAGUUUUGAUGGAAACAUGCAGUUUGAUGUUUCAAAGUUUUGUGGAGACAUUCAGUAUAAUGUUUCAAAGGUUUUGUGGAAACAUUCAGUAUAAUGUUUCAAGUCUUUGAGGAAACAUUCUGUAUAAUGUUUCAAAGGUUUUGUGGAAACAUUCAGUAUAAUGUUUCAAGUCUUUGAGGAAACAUUCAGUAUAAUGUUUCAAAGGUUUUGUGGAAACAUUCAGUAUAAUGUUUCAAAGGUUUUGUGGAAACAUUCAGUAUAAUGUUUCAAACGUUUUGUGGAAACAUUCAGUAUAAUGUUUCAAAGUCACGUAUUAGUGAUUGUGGAAACAUUCAGUAUAAUGUUUCAUAGUUUGGUAUAAUGUUUAAAGUUUGUUGUAGAAACAUUCAGUAUAAUGCUUCAAAUUUUUUAUGGAAACAUUUAGUGAAUCUUUCAAUGGUUUUGUGGAAACAAUCAGUAUAUAGUUUCAAAAGGAUUUUGGAAACAUUCAGUAUAAUGUUUCAUAGUGUUUGUGGAAACAUUUAGUAUAAUGUUAAUUAUAUCAGUAGAAACAUUUUGUUUCAUAUUUCAAUUUGAUGAGGAAAGAACUUUCAGUAUUAUGAGAAACUUAAAUAGAUAUUUCAAUAAUUCUUUUCAUGCUGUACAUGUAGCAUGUCAUCAAGUCUGUUCUGAAAAGUUCAAUGUAAAUUGUUUCUCAUUGUGUUUGGGUUCCAGCAUCUAAAUAUUCGUAGGCUUUAGUAGUGCAUUACACUCGUACACUAUUUACCAUGGUAUUCUGUUACUUGUAGCAGUACACCGAUGCCAAGGGCCAACCUGAACUAUAAAGGGAUCAACACCUAACCUCAGUACCAACCAAGGCACAUAAUGGAGAGGCAAUGUACCCUACAAAUUUCAGUUCAGAUGGCGGAAAUUGUGCAUUAUUGGAACUUCAUCCCAGCUUCAAAAUUGAAAACGUGAAAAUUAAAACCGUGAAAUUAAUCCCCUAUACAGUAUUCUGGACAUGAUGUCAGCUUCAUAGUAAACUGUUGGAAAAUGAUGCCACCAAAGAUUGAAACCCACACCAUCAGGAAGGGCAAGCUACACACUUAAAAUGCUCAAGCUCAUCUUAUGGAUUCUAUGUUGAUAUCUGUGUUGAAUGGCAAAUAUCAUUUUCUCCAACAUGUACUGCCAAGGAACAUCAUAUACAGUAAAUCUCGGUUAUAAUGAAGUCGCUGGGAUGCAUGAAGUUACUUCGCUAUAUCCGUAAUUUGUAAUAACCGUACAAGAAAUUUAUAAAAUUUAUACAGCCUGGAUCCAAAUUGAAUUCGCUAUAUCCGUGAAUUCGCAUUAUCCGUGUUCGUACUAAACGAGUUUCACUGUAUAGAGUAGUUAGCACCUGUCAUUCAUUUAAUGUGUAAAAUAAGAUUUUGCAAUGUAUUAGCUUCUUAUGUAACAUUAAUUGUUCUAUCAUUAAUUUUGUAAAUCUGGUCAGUAGUCCAGUAAAGUGUUUAUCAAAUAUUCCACAAUGUACAUCCUCUAUAGGCAUCAACUCUGUAUAACUCAGCUCAAUUUUAAUGUCUUCAUAAUCGGCUUUCUAAUAUCAAUGAGUUCAGCAUUGAAACUUGCCUGCAUAGUCUUUGAGCUACAUGUAAGAUGACGGCUACUCAUUUAAAUUGUAUGUUGAAAUCUGCCGGCAUAGACUUGUGUUAAGAUACAUAGUUCAGCAGAGAGCUGCUUAUGUAAAUUGUGCUUCAAAAUCUGCUUGCAUAGUCUUGAGUUAAGAUACAUUAGUUCAGCGGAUAGCUGCUCAUGUGAAUUGUGCUGAAAACUCUGCUUGCAUAGUCUUGAGUUAAGACACGAGUUCAGAGGAUAGCUCCUCUUGUAAAUUGUUUGUUACAAUCUGCUUGCAUAGUCGAGAGUUAAGAUACAUGACUUCAGCGGAUAGCUGCUCAUGUAAAUUGUAUAAUAAAAUGUGGCUUGCAUAGUCUUGAGUUAAGAUACAUGGCUUCAGCGCAUUGCUGCUCAUGUAAAUUGUGUGUUAAAAUCUGCUUGCAUAGUCUUAGUUCAAGAUACAUGAAUUCAGCGGAUAGCUGCUCAUGUAAAUUGAAUGUUAAAAACUCUGCCUGCAUUGUCUUGAGGUUAGAUGAAGACCUACCUAAUUUUACAUUUAUACUAAACAUUCCUUGCAGUGAUUUUGGCUUCUUUUGAUCCACAAUUUAACAGCUAACAGGUGAAUGUUAAUGUCUUUGUUGCAUCAGUACUUGUUAUUUGUCAAGAACACCUAGUCUAAAAUGUAUGUGAUAUCAUAUGAACUUCAACUUCAAUGUUGUUUUAUAUAUUUAAAAAAAAAAAUACUUCAAAAAAUGCUGUAAAUUUCAGUAUUUUUACUAUUUUUAUAAAAAUGUUUUCUUUUGAUUUUUCUCCUUGUUUGGCGUCAACCCCUCACUGCGUGACACUGCGUGAGGGCUUGUGGCGCAAUUGUUUGGACGCCUCCAAGGAUUUACUCAUUUAUGUUAUAUUUUAUGCAUAUUUACAUGUACUCUGAUAUGUUCACUGCAUGUAAAUUUCUAGUCAGUCUCAGGGGGAUCACAGUUGUACCUUUCACCUGUGUACAUGUAACCUGUAUUGUUUAAUAUUAGAUGAUCCCCCUUCAUGAUUUGUUAUACAUUUUACCAUAUGUCAUUAAAUAAAAUGACAUAUUCGACAAAACUGCAUAUCUGUGUUUGGUUGUUUUUUCACUGCACUUUCAGGCUGAUAUUUCUCAUAGGAGGCAUAAAACAAUAUUAUCACAGAUAAUUCAAUUUAUGCCGCUAUGAGAAAUAUAUUACAUUUUACACCUAAGGAUAAUUCUGCAUAUCCCUGCGCAGUCUGCAGGAUAUGCGCCCUUAUCGCAGCGCAAUUAUCAUAGAACCUUUUAUUGCGAAAUCGCACCUUAUUUUGCUUGACAGAGUUAUCCAAUCAAAAUCCUUGAUUUUGUUGCGCCAUUUUUGUUAGCCUGGCAGUGCAUUGAAGAAAAAAACCCACCACCCACCCUUUUGCCUUUUUGUGGUUUAUGGUUUUAUAUUAUUUUGCAUUUUAGUCCAGAUUUGUAUUUUCCUAACUAACUUGUCAUAUGUUUCUUGAUUGGCGCAAUUGUUUGGACGCCUCCAAGGAUUUACUCAUUUAUGUUAUAUUUUAUGCAUAUUUACAUGUACUCUGAUAUGUUCACUGCAUGUAAAUUUCUAGUCAGUCUCAGGGGGAUCACAGUUGUACCUUUCACCUGUGUACAUGUAACCUGUAUUGUUUAAUAUUAGAUGAUCCCCCUUCAUGAUUUGUUAUACAUUUUACCAUAUGUCAUUAAAUAAAAUGACAUAUUCGACAAAACUGCA
Long non-coding RNA from Saccostrea cuccullata (small rock oyster), 7086 nucleotides. RefSeq lists it as uncharacterized. Lineage: Eukaryota; Metazoa; Mollusca; Bivalvia; Ostreida; Ostreidae. The transcript is spliced from 2 exons. The record is from RefSeq and is a predicted model, not a curated record.